Molecule: ribosomal RNA, 253 nt
Filed under: uncultured bacterium
Lineage: Bacteria
Description: partial 16S ribosomal RNA
Rfam family: Bacterial small subunit ribosomal RNA
Source: RNAcentral
UACGAAGGGGGCUAGCGUUGCUCGGAAUCACUGGGCGUAAAGCGCACGUAGGCGGCUUUCUAAGUCAGGGGUGAAAUCCUGGAGCUCAACUCCAGAACUGCCUUUGAUACUGGGAAGCUCGAGUCCGGAAGAGGUGAGUGGAACUCCGAGUGUAGAGGUGAAAUUCGUAGAUAUUCGGAAGAACACCAGUGGCGAAGGCGGCUCACUGGUCCGGUACUGACGCUGAGGUGCGAAAGCGUGGGGAGCAGACAGG